AUUUGUGUGUGUGUGUGUGUGUGUGUGUGUCUGUGUGUGUGUUUUGAGACAGGGUCUUGCUGUGUUGCCUAGGCUGGUCUCAAAAGAAUUUGAGUUUUGUUUUGUUUUGUUUGAGACGGAGUCUCGCUCUGUCACCCAGGCUGGAGUGCAGUGGUAUGAUCUUGGCUCACUGCAAGCUCCGCCUCCUGGGUUCAAGUGAUUCUUCUGCCUCAGCCUCCCGAGUAGCUGGGACUACAGGCACUCACUACUGUGCCAGGCUAGUUUUUUUGUAUUUUCAGUAGAGAUGGGAUUUCACCAUGUUGGCCAGGCUGGUCUCAAGCCCCUGACCUCAGGUGAUUAGCCCACCUCUGCCUCCCAAAGUGCUGGGAUUACAGGCGUGAGCCACCGCGCCUGGCCUAAAGAAUAUUUUCUAUCCUGCAGUUGAUUGAAUCCUUGGAUGCAGAACCAGCAGGUACCACAGAGAUCAUGACAAUGACUCCAGAUAGACCCACACUGCUCCGGAAAUGGAAACUCCUAUUUCUCAACAAAAUCCACCUAAGCUCAAAGGUGAAAUCAACAAAGAGUUUUAAAGAUCAUUUUAGAUUAUUAUGAAGAAAGAUGCAAAUGAUAGCACAAGACUGAAAAAGAAAUUCAAAGCCCAGUAACGUAUGAGUAAUGAGGAAACUAAAAUCACAAAUUCAGAAAGAACCAAUUCACGUUCAAACAAGGAGAUCCCAUUUUCCACUUAUCAGAUUAGCAAAAAUGUUAAGAAUUGCUACUAUUCAGUGUUAGUGAGGGUGUGGGAAAACAGGCAUUCUCAAGCUCCCCACAUGUCAUAGAGGAGUGAAAAUCAGCCCAAACUUUUUGGAGAACAAUUAGUCAGUAAUAACAUGUCAAAUGUGGAUUCACUCUGAUUCAAAAAUUCUAUUUCUGGGAAUCCACCCUCUGAUGUUGUCACACAAGGCAUAUGCAAGGAUGUUCGCCAAGGUGUUGAUUAUCUAGUAAAAUGCUGGAAACAACUUAGCUAUCAAUUAGAGACUGGAUAAAUAACUUACAGUGUAUCCACACUGUGGAACCCUUAAGAGACUGAGGUAGAUUUAUAUACAGUGACAUGGAAGAUCUCUAAGACACAUUGACAAGUGAAAUUAACAAAUCAAAAUAUGACACAUUAGUAUAAUUAUAUAUAUAUGUAUAUAUAUUAUAUGUAUUUAAAGUCUCUCCCAAAUGCUAAGUCUAUAUCAUUCAUAGAAACAGGUAUGGAGUCUGGGUGCAGUGGCUCAUGCUUGUAAUUCCAACAUUUUGGGAGGCUGAGGUGGGAGGAUUGCUUGAGACCAGGAGUUCUAGACCAGGUAGGGCAAUAUAGCAAGACCCCAUCUCUCUAUUUCUAAAAAAAUAAAUCCAUGAAACAAUGUAAGAAGAAAAAACAGGUCUGGAAGGAGAUACACACACAAUGAAGAGUAGUUACCUCGAAGGGGAAAGGAGAAUUGGAAGGAGGUGAUAAAGGGGGAUUAUAAAUUUUACUCCAUAUAUUUCUGUGUUGGAUUUUUAAUUUUAUCUUAUUUAUUUAUUUUUCAUUUCUUUGAGACAAGAUCUGAGCUCUGUCACCCAGGCUGGAGUGUAGUGGCAUGAUCAUGGCUCACUGCAGCCUCAACCUCCUGGGCUCAAGUGAUCCUCCCACCUCAGCCCCCGAGUAGCUGGAAGUACAGGCGCACACCACUAUGCCUGGCUAUUUUUAUUUUUUGUAGAGAUGAAGUCUCACUAUGUUGCCCAGGCUGGUCUCGAACUCCUAGGCUCAAGGGAUCCACCUGCCUCAGCCUCCCAAAGUGUUGGGAUUACAGGCGUGAGCCGCUGUGCCCAGUCUAUCUUUGUUUUUAAACAAUGAAUGUGCAUUCAUGCAUUACUUAGCGGCACUAUGCACGGUCAUGGUGUUCCGUGUCGACCCUAGCUUCAUUAGUUACUAGGUGUGUAAGAAGUAAAGAAAAAAAAUAAAUAAACCUCAAUGUGCCUUACUCUUUUUCUACAAAAAUAGAGCUAAUAUAGGCUUGUUGUGAAGAUUAAGUAAAUUGAUAGAAGCAAAAUGCUUGAAAUAAGUGUUUCAAUUAUUAUGACUUGUGUAAUUAAACAUAAGCUGUCACAAAUAGGCUGUGUCGGCUUGGAUGAAGAAUCCCACACUGGUAAGGCCAAUGCUUACAUGAGCACGAGCCUGAGAAGAGAGGGAAA
This 2199-nucleotide long non-coding RNA is filed under the name Homo sapiens (human). RNAcentral describes it as "HSALNT0209474". The record is from RNAcentral. Lineage: Eukaryota; Metazoa; Chordata; Mammalia; Primates; Hominidae.